This 298-nucleotide ribosomal RNA is filed under the name uncultured bacterium. RNAcentral's name for it is "partial 16S ribosomal RNA". It matches the Rfam family "Bacterial small subunit ribosomal RNA", at positions 28 to 333 of the family's 1533-position model. The record is from RNAcentral.
GACGAACGCUGGCGGCGUGCUUAACACAUGCAAGUCGAGCGGAAAGGCCCUUCGGGGUACUCGAGCGGCGAACGGGUGAGUAACACGUGAGGAACCUGCCCCAGACUUUGGGAUAACCUUCGGAAACGGAGGCUAAUACCGGAUAUGACAUUCCAUCGCAUGGUGGUUUGUGGAAAGUUUUUCGGUUUGGGAUGUCUCGCGGCCUAUCAGCUUGUUGGUGGGGUAAUGGCCUACCAAGGCGACGACGGGAGCCGGCCUGAGAGGGCGACCGGCCACACUGGGACUGAGACACGGCCCA